Molecule: ribosomal RNA, 427 nt
Filed under: uncultured Halomonas sp.
Lineage: Bacteria; Pseudomonadati; Pseudomonadota; Gammaproteobacteria; Oceanospirillales; Halomonadaceae
Description: bacterial SSU rRNA
Rfam family: Bacterial small subunit ribosomal RNA
Source: RNAcentral
UGGGGAAUAUUGGACAAUGGGCGAAAGCCUGAUCCAGCCAUGCCGCGUGUGUGAAGAAGGCCCUCGGGUUGUAAAGCACUUUCAGCGGGGAAGAAAGCCUUGGGAUUAAUACUCCCGAGGAAGGACAUCACCCACAGAAGAAGCACCGGCUAACUCCGUGCCAGCAGCCGCGGUAAUACGGAGGGUGCGAGCGUUAAUCGGAAUUACUGGGCGUAAAGCGCGCGUAGGCGGUCUGAUAAGCCGGUUGUGAAAGCCCCGGGCUCAACCUGGGAACGGCAUCCGGAACUGUCAGGCUAGAGUGCAGGAGAGGAAGGUAGAAUUCCCGGUGUAGCGGUGAAAUGCGUAGAGAUCGGGAGGAAUACCAGUGGCGAAGGCGGCCUUCUGGACUGACACUGACGCUGAGGUGCGAAAGCGUGGGUAGCAAACA